AUGGAAGUGAUGAAUUUUUUCCAGAUGAACGAUGUUGAUAUUACUUGCGAUUUAGUUCUCAUAAGAUAAAUCAAGAUGAUUAAUUAGAUCCAU
Non-coding RNA from Lupinus angustifolius (narrow-leaved blue lupine), 93 nucleotides. NCBI's taxonomy places the organism in Eukaryota, Viridiplantae, Streptophyta, Magnoliopsida, Fabales, Fabaceae. The record is from Rfam.